UACAGAGGGUGCAAGCGUUAAUCGGAAUUACUGGGCGUAAAGCGUGCGCAGACGGUUAUCUAAGUCGAGUGUGAAAGCCCCGGGCUCAACCUGGGAAUUGCAUUCGAUACUGAAUAGCUAGGGUGCGGAAGAGGGAAGUGGAAUUUCCGGUGUAGCGGUGAAAUGCGUAGAUAUCGGAAGGAACAUCAGUGGCGAAAGCGACUUCCUGGUCCAGCACCGACGUUCAGGCACGAAAGCGUGGGGAGCAAACAGG
This 253-nucleotide ribosomal RNA is filed under the name uncultured bacterium. RNAcentral's name for it is "partial 16S ribosomal RNA". It matches the Rfam family "Bacterial small subunit ribosomal RNA", at positions 524 to 776 of the family's 1533-position model. The record is from RNAcentral.